UGAUAGAUUCCGGAGCAGGCGGAAACUUUAUGGACAUUAAAUUUGCAGCAGAAAAUAAAAUUCAGUCUAUCCCUAAAUCUUCACCUGUGUUAAUGGAAACAGUAGACGGUUCUCCACUUACGUCAGGCCCGGUUACACAUGAGACUGUGCCCUUAAAAUUGAUUCUGGAAGUGAAUCACCAUGAGUCUAUAUCUUUCCACCUAAUUUCCUCAACACAGUUCCCAGUGAUUUUGGGUAUACCCUGGCUUGCUCUGCAUAACCCACAGAUUGAUUGGAAGACUAGAACUUUGUCCUUUCCUUCAGAACACUGCUUAAUGAAUUGUCAACCCUCUAAGGCGACACCUGUUACCACAACAAUUAAUGAAAUGGUUGCUACAAACUUAACCAAGCUUCCGCUACA
Non-coding RNA from Pelobates cultripes (western spadefoot toad), 400 nucleotides. The record is from the annotation of a GenBank genome assembly. Lineage: Eukaryota; Metazoa; Chordata; Amphibia; Anura; Pelobatidae.